Gorilla gorilla gorilla (western lowland gorilla) is the source of this 9056-nucleotide long non-coding RNA. RefSeq lists it as uncharacterized. The record is from RefSeq and is a predicted model, not a curated record. NCBI's taxonomy places the organism in Eukaryota, Metazoa, Chordata, Mammalia, Primates, Hominidae. The transcript has 5 exons.
GAAGAGAAGCAUGAGGUUACAUCUGUAAUCUCCCUGCAGCAGAGUCAACUGCAUAAGAAACCAAAAGACACACCUGCUCCAUGCCAGCUUCGAUAAUUUCUUUGUACCUUCGGCGAAAGAAGCCCAUCUGAAAGGCAGAAAGAAAGAUGAGAAGCUGAGUUAGAAGUGCUGAAGAAUCAGCCAUUGUGACCCUAAGGCAGUCUGUCCCUGGGUAGGUGUGACCUGCACUCACAGGGCUGGGGAGGCUUGGAGGACCCCUCGGAUUAGAGAAAACACUGGCAAGAAAAACAUCCUGUGGAGACAUUUUUCAAAAUGCAUGGACUUCCUGCGGGUGAUAUUAGGCUUCUUCACUGUGAGCCAAACAUCCAGGGAAGCAUCACAGCCACCCUGAUGGUCAUAAGCUCCCCUGAAGAAGGGAAGGCAGGUGGAGCUGAGGAGCUGUCUGUUGCCACCAUCUUUCUACUUCCCUAAAGGUGGCUUAUUGGCCAAGCCAAAGACGAGAACUGUCAAGAGAGCCAGCAGGUAUCUUCACCCACGUUGCCAAGGAGAUCCUGAGCAUUCACUGUGAGGGGAAGUCGAUAAGGUGGUGCAGUUUGAAUGACUGGGAAAGAGCAGAAGCUUUCUUAGAACAACUGGCAAGAGUCUUGUGUUCUGAGCUUCAAUCCUCAAGGCCAGUUUUGUAAACAGAUAUUGAGUUCCUGGUGAUUUCAGCCCUGGAGGUUUCUUCCCAGCAUAAGACCACAUUCAUCAGAAUGCCACGUUCUGACGCCCCCACACAUAUACUUUUCUCUCCUGAAACCUCUUCACCUUCUCCCCUCUGCAAGAGAUGUGGAAAAGGUGCUUGGCCAGAAUUUUCUGGAUAAUUAAGAAAAAGUCAUAGACAUCAUCCCCACAGCACACGCACAGAAGGCCAGAAAAACGGACCAAGACUGAAUGGAAAUCUAAGAAGCUACUGCUUGAAAUGUCAUUCUUUGCGAUAAAGAUAUGGUUGGCCAAGAAAACAUGACCAGAUGUGGCUGGUCACAUACCAUGAAGGAGAAUGUAAUCAUGAAACUGUGGAAGGAUGUAACAGGGAAAUAAGAUUCUCUAGCACAUACCUUUGGCUGCUGAUGUUGUAAUGUGUCAAUAAUCCCAGGUCACUCAGUUGUAAUUCCAGAGAAGUCACAUUUCCCUACCAUGGCACUAUCAAGCAGAAACUUAACAGUCUGCCCCCUUAUUAUCUCCUGCAUUUGUCUUAGGACUCUUUGAAGGCAGGCUUUGUGCUUUCAAUCCCCAGUACUCAGCAUCUCACCUGUCCCUGGUACCAGCGAUAAAUUGCAAAGAUGCCCACAUACCCUCCACACCUUUUACCACGUGACUCUCCAGCUCUUCCCAUCGUGAGGUGGAGUCUAUUUUCCCAGCCUUGAUUCUCCACUGAGACUAGCUUUGACAAUUGGAUGAGAGGGAGGAGACGUUGUGUCUGUUACACACUUAGUCCCCAAGGGGCUGUGCACACUUCCAAUUACUUUCUCAGAACCCUGCCCUGCUUCCACACAAAUGCCUAUGUCUAACCUGCUAAGAGACCAGUUUUUUUUGAAGCCCUCCCAGACUAGCCAACUCCCAGCUGCCCGCAGAGGCACAUGUAAGUCUCACUGAGCUCAAACGGCCCCACUGAGCUCAGUCCAAAUAGCCAACCCACAGAACUGUGACCUGCAUAGAUGGAUAUUGCUUUUAAGCCGCUGAAUACUGGGGUGGUUUGUCAUGUAGCAUAAGUUAACUGGUACGGACUCAAUAUUUUUUUUGCUGACUUAAUGAAUCAGACAGACAGCUGAUAGGGCUCUAGAUUUAAACAGCAUCAGUUAGUGUGCCUUGCUGAACUAGACUUUUCACUUUUUUUUUUUUUGAGACAGAGUCUCACUCUGUCACCCAGGCUGGAGUGCAAUGGCGCCAUCUCGGCUCACUGCAACCUCUGCCUCCCAGGUUCAAGUGAUUCUCCUGCCUCAGCCUCUCGAGUAGCUGGGAUUGCAGGCGUGUACCACCCUGCCCAGCUAAUUUUCGUAUUUUUAGUAGAGACGGGGUUUCAUCUUAUUGGCCAGGCUGGUCUCAAACUCCUGACAUCAAGUGAUCCGCCUGCCUUGGCUUCCCAAAGCGCUGGGAUUACAGGCGUGAGCCACCGCGCCCGGCCUGAACCAGACUUCUCUUGUUCAUCUCUAAGAGCAAAAGCUGGCUCACUUUCUCAUCACUAUGCUAGUGUAAGGAUUUGAUACAGACAGUGUGUUAACAAUCUGGAAAUGAUUUAGAGCACCUGAACUCACUCUUACAUGUGGCUUUCAUGUGCUCAAGUUUUUAUGUACGCAAUUCUUGCUAACAACAAGGUGAAGGCACUGUCAUCUCUUGCAGGCACCCAGAAGCAAGCUUCUUUCUCUCAGUGGAGUGGUGUCAGCAUUAGGCCUGAAAAUCACCCCCACCCACCCCUGGCUGAAACAGCCUUGCAAGCUCUAUGCCCCACUGUAACACUGCAGGGUCUCCAGUCCCGUUCCUCACACAGCCUAUGCGUAAUCUCUUGGAUGGGAGGUCAGAGCUACCAUUGAUGUAUGUCUUCCUUUUUUUAGAGUCUGAAGACCAUUUCUUAAAACAUAAUGCACUCUCAUGGCUAGGGAGUUGUAGGUACAGUAGUGCAGGUGCUACACUGCAUUUAAGGGGCUGGGGGAUACCACUCACAUCACAGAUAUCAUGUAUGUGUAUAAGUUUAUUAUAACUGUUUUCCAACAGAUGGCAGUAGAGUGUCUUGUUCUCAUAAAAUCAGAGUUUUCUGAAUUUUUUCUGACAGAUGGAAGUAAAGAGUCUUUAGGAAGGGGUGCUAUUUACUAUUAUAGUUUGCACAAAGGUACCCUAUAGUCUAGCGGUGGCUCUGUCAAACUAAUAUUGUUUCUUUUUUUGGGGGGUGGGGGAUGGAGUCUCACUCUGUUGCCAGGCUGGAGUGCAGUGGCGCGAUCUUGGCUCACUGCAACCUCCGCCUCUCGGGUUCAAGCGAUUCUCCUGCCUCAGCCUCCCAAGUAGCUGGAAUUACAGGUCUGCACCACCAGGCCUGGCUGAUUUUUAUAUUUUGGUAGAGAUGGGGUUUCACCAUGUUGGCCAGGCUGAUCUUGAACUCCUGACCUCAGAUGAUCCGCCUGCCUUGGCCUCCCAAAGUGCUGGGAUUACAGGUGUGAGCCACCGCGCCCAGCCUGGGAAGGUUAUUUUCUGGCUUCGAGCCAUAGUGUCUUCGUCUCUGCCUAAGAGAUCAAUGGGAUUCUCAGACCUCUUCCAGCCCUGAAACAUCAUGACAGCUUUUUCUGUUUUCCCCAAAGUGAAUUCAAGGCUCUAGACUGUGGGCCACACAGCUGGGUACUCAGGACUCACACUAAGGGGGAACAAGGCACAGAGUCUUUGUCCCAUCUCAAUUUUUCUCAAAGAUUUUUGAGAAAUUUUUUGAAAAUUCAAUUUUCAAUUUUUAAAACUCUGUUAAUUUUUGAAAGAAACAAAUAAAACAUAAUUUAAUAAUAUUUUAAAAGAUUAUGAGGUCUUUGAAUUCACAAAACACAUGCAGUUAUGUUCACUUAUUUAACUUUUAUAGUCUUUUGAACUGUGGGAUUUUAAGGUCAAUUUUACCGAUGAGGAAAGUAGGCAAGGCUUGAUGGAGUUGAACAUGCAGCUCUUGAUCAGAUGUCUUAUAAUAAGUGUCAGAAUUGGGGACUUGCUAAGUAAGUCUAGGACUCUUAACUCAUGUAACAUAGAGACUGCCUGAUUACCUCAUCAAGAACGGAAAAAAUAUCAGUUCUCUAAAAAUAAAAACUCAAAAUAAGCAACCCAUGAGAACAAGUCACCGAAAGUAAUUUGCAAGAACCAGAAAAAAGCAUGUUAUCUUCUAAAUGCCCUAGAGGCACAAUAUUAUUCCCAACAGUUCUCAAUAAAUGCAAGUCAAUAAAUAAAGAACAGGUCUUCCUAGCUAACAUUUUCUAAUAGAAUGUCAAUCAGGAACGAGGAAGUGAAAAACUAAAUUUAGCAAGGCUUCUGUCAUCCCCUUAAGAUAAUGACUUCAACUAAAGAUAAUGGCUAAAGAUAAAAUAUAAAAACUAAAGACUAAAGAUAAACACUAAACUAAAGAUAGUGACUCUGAAUUUGAUGAUCUAACAAGUACAAAUAAUCCCCAAGUUACCAUACCUCAACUUAACAGUUUUUUGACUUUAUGAUGGGUUUAUUGGGGGUAUUAAAUGCAUUUCUGACUUAAAAUAUUAUAAGUCAAGGAGCACCUGUAGUUCCUUUGCUUAAGAGAUACAUGGUCUAAAUCUGUAACUCUUCAUACACAUGCCAGGAAACCCACGAGCCCCUUCAGCCUGCUAUAGUACUUCAUAGCCAGUCCUACCUAUUCCAUUACUGCCAGGACCCAAAGUCCCCCUACACUUGGGAAAUUAGCACAUCCCAAGGUUAAGUAGGCCUCCUUCAGACAUACACACCCGCUCAUGUGAGCACGCAUGGGUGCCUUGGGGAGAGCUUUGAGAAGCACUGGGCAAAUCUCUGUUUUUCUUGCCAGCUGAGCCCACCCUGAAGGUGCUGGGAAAUGAUUAAUGAUGGGCUAAGCUGGAUGCCCAGCAGCCCCACACUCACUUCCAAGCCAAUGGAGUCAAUGUUUUUCUGCAUUUUUUCUGGAACCUUCCAGUGCUUGCUUCACCAUUUGAGGGGCAAGGGGCUCUGUUAACUGUUCUAUCUGUAGCAGAAGAAACAUAGAAACCCUAGAGGAGGUGACUCAAGCCAAGCUUUGCUUGGCUGGAAGCCGAAGGAACAGUGUGCUUUCUGGUUUUUGUGUCUGCUGGUCCUGCAGCUCCAAAGAGCAGCUCCCUGAACCCUCGUAACAGACAUACACAAUUUUCUCAUAUAACCAUGUAUCCAAAAGCAACCAGAAAACUCCUAGGGAAACAACAGAUUGCCCCAAACAGCCUUACUUAGAUGGGUGCUGCAUGAGGCAUGAGGCCUGACUGAGUUCUGGUGUAUCCACCCUGCAGCAGCAGCCUCUUCCUCCCCAGCCCCCUGCAGGGUGAGAGGGACCAGCUGGACAACACCAUGACAUCUGGUCUCUUGGGGGAUCCUACCCGCUCCGCGGCCUUUGGGUUGCUUCCUAGACAGUGAUUCUGAGGACCUAGGACAAAUUCCUUUUUUGGACUAACUCAAGACUUCAUGUUUAUAGUUCUCUUCAGUUACUUGACUAUUUACAUAGCAUGUCUCUGUCUCGAGAUGUCGACAGUGCAACAUCAGCCCAAUAUUUACUCCCAAGCAUAAACAAGCCCCCACUGAAUGUCAUUGGCACAUGGUUCUAAUUGAGGCAGUGUGAAGGGUGUGUGUGCAAGCACAUGGGCAUGUGUCUGUGCAUUUUUUUUUUCUUUGGAGGAGAAGCAAGGAUGCCCUCCCAGACCAGUUUGAAGGGAAGGUGAUAACCCAGUGACCUGUGGAGGGGUUGCCAAACCUUACACAUUCUCUGAGCCAUUUCACAGAUUUGUUUUCUAAGUGUUUCUGCCUUAGGUCAGAAGUAAUGCUCUCAAAUAAAAACCAUGAGCCCAAAGCCAGUCCUAAAGCAGCAGCCUCCUGGAACAGCCCCAGCUGAUAUAGGGUUUGAGGCAGCCCUUUUCAGAGGGCUGGCAAACACAUUCUGCAGCCUGCCUCUUUGCCACUUGAGCAAGUAGGUCCUGGGCCUCCUGGGAAGAGAUGGCCAUAGGGCUGGCCAAGCAGUCUCACUUCCCUUUGCUCCAAACCAUCUCGGUUUGCAAAAGGGUCAAAUGGGAGAGAGAGGGUCCUUGGUUGACAGCAGUGAGGGAGGAUAUGGUCUCUCUCCUUCACUGAGUGGUGGCCUGUAUGUUUUGGCAAACUGCAAACAAACAAGGACAGAGCUGGGGAGGGGAGGAGGGUGUGAGGGAGGCAGAGAGAAAGACAGGGAGGGAAGAGCUUGGAGCCCUAAAUAAGGGAAGGGGGGUGUCUUUCUUCAAAAGGAGAAACACCCCAUCAUCUUCAUUCUUUCCACAGAAACCAGGCUGGCUUAUAUAAGCUGAAGGUAUUUCUUAAAGGUGCCAGUCACACACAAAGUUGUUAUCCCUCCUGCACCUCUGAACAAUUUAACUUUCUCCUCCUAAACAGGCCUUUAUGAUUGUCUUGAAGAGAUGCCAGGCCCAGGCAUCUUCCAACCCAGUCAGGAGCUGCAGGAAAGGAGAGGGGACUCAUUUGGACUUUUCUUCCUUUAAAAGCGUUUCAUAUUUCAAAGUUUUCUUCCUGCAUGGUGGUUUGGCUGGCUACUGUAAUCCUCGCACAUAAAGUUUAAAUUAUGGCUCCCAGUGUCUGCUAACAUCUCAGCUUUGGGAAAGCUGAUUAGGAUCCAUUUCAGAAUUUGAAGAGCGGUCUGGUUAGCUUGGGGCCCUCAUUGUGGAUUUUGUAUCAGAGCCAGGGCAUGCUGCCGCCAAGCAUGAGAGGAUGCCUGAGAUGCCAGCAGAUGGGCUUUCUUGAAGGCCGCCAGGAGCUGCACAGGGUCAGAGGCAGAUGAGGGGCUGGUCUGGCUGAGCACAUCAGCAGGGAGCCUGGAGCUCAGCUCUGGAAAAGACACUUGCUGACCCGAUAAGGGCUUUCUGAUUUAGGUAAACAGUAGCACCACAGUGCAUGUGUAGGUGGGGCCAGGGGCUGGUGGCACAGGCCAAGUCCUGCUCACCUUCAGGGCUUUGCUGAAGCUGAUUUUCCUAAAGGUCUUCAAGACUAGGUGAGGGCUCUGUUGUUGAGGCCAGGCAUGGUGGCUCACGCCUGUAAUCCUAGUAGUUUGGGAGGCCAAGGUGGGUGGAUCACUUGAGGCCAGGAGCUCAAGACUAGCCUGGCCAAUAUGGUGAAACCCUGUCUCUACUAAAAAUACAAAAAUUAGCCAGGCAUGGUGGCACACACCUAUAAUCCUAGCUACACAGGAGGCUGAGGCAGGAGAAUUGCUUGAACUCGGGAGGCGGAGGUUGCAGUGAGCCAAGACUGCACCACUGCACUCCAGCCUGGGUGACAGAGUGAGACUCUGUCUCAAAAAAAGAAAAAAAAAAAAAAAAAAAGAAACAGACUAGGUGAGGGCUGUUGUUUAUUUAUCUUUGUCCCUUUGCCCAGGGCCUGCCACCUAGCAGGGACCUACUACUCUUUGCCUAGUGAAGGUGCUGGCCAUCUUGCAAGCAUAAAGCAUGCAGACCUUCAGGCUUGUGUGGUGCUGUGAAUGCGGCGGCAUGGCCAGCUGCUCUGCUCAGCUUUCAGUACCAUGUCACGAUUCACGUUUAUGCAACACUUUUGGGAACAACCACUUUUGGCUCAGGUGCUCAAGGCAGCAGCAAAUGACCAUAGGUAGCAAUGCCAAGAGCUACUCUAGAAGGACAUUCAAGAGCCACAGUUCUGUAAAGGGAAGAGGACUUCAACACUGUCCCCGCCAACCGCUGUCUUCAAAGGCCCUCAGUGAAGUGGGCAACCGGUCAGCAGUGGCAGCUGGGUAACACUCAGUGGCUUUCCCCUUGAAAGGAAUGGAGGAAAUUACAUAUGGAAUAUGGCAAUAAGCCGGAAACAUUAAGACCUCCCGUAUAAGUCAAAUAUGAGGCUGGAGUUUAGACCAUCAAUUAACAGGUCUUUGGGUUACUGCACCGUACUGUCAGUGUGAUACCGAAUCACUAUUCACUACACAUAAUGUAUCAUUCUUAGGUUGUAGACAUGGGAAUCAGAGUUGACAAGAGGUCUGUAGUUGAAGUUCUAGAAAUACGUAGGUCUUUAAAAUAAUCCUACAUUUCAAUUGCCCUUUUAACCUCUUAUAAAGUCUUUUGAGACUUUAUAAGUCUCAAAAGUCAUAGUUAGCCUUUUGAGAAAAAAAAUUUUUUUUCCCUAAAGAAAUCCCCGCCAAGCCCCUUAUCACAUUACAACACUGCCUCAACAGACUGCACACUCUGACAUAAAUGCUGCACCAACAUUUUCUGUUCGCCUCCUCUUCCCCAAAGGAGUUCAACUGUGAUUUUAUCUAUGACACUAUGGGAGAGAGAUGAGGUUUCAUCUACUUUAAAAUAGAACAAAACUUCUAGUUAGGCGAAUUUUUGUUUGUAAUAGUGACUUUUAGGGAAAAGACACGGUGGCUCACACCUGUAAUCCCAGCACUUUGGGAGGCCAAGGCAGGCAGAUCGCUUGAGGCCUGGAGUUCGAGACCAGCCUGGCCAACAUGGUGAAACCCCGUCUCUACAAAAAAUACAAAACUUAGCCAGGCUUGGUGGCAGGCACCUGUAAUCCCAGCUACUCAGGAGACUGAGGUAGGAGAAUCUCUUGAACCCAAGAGGCGGAGGUUGCAGUGAGUCGAGAUCAUGCUACUGCACUCCAGCCUGAGUGACAGAGUGAGACUGCCACAAAAAAAAAAAAAAAAAGAAAAGAUUUUGCCCAUAUUUUGAACAUCAUGCAUGUGACAGAUAAAAGACAGCCACUAAGGCUUUGCCACUUCUCCCAUUGAGAAGCAGGGUCUAUUUCCCCUCUCUUGAACCUAAGCUGGCAUAUGACUGCUUUUACCAACAGAAUAAAUGAUGCUAUGCGCCAGCUGUGGGCUAGCAUUUAAGAGAACUGGCAGCGCUCUCUUUCAGCCUAAGCCACCACAUAAAAAGUCAGACCAUCUGCUGGAAGAACCACAUGGAGAGGCCCUGAGUCGACAUGGAGAGGAAGAAGGACUUGACUGAAUCCAGCCUUCCAGCUGUCCCUACCAAGGUGCUAGGCACGAGAAUGAAGCUGUCUUGGACUCUGAAGACCAGCUUAGCCACCAGAUGCCAAACACUGAGCAGGCUUUGUUCUCCACCUACAAACCAGAGGCUGUCUCAGCAGGAAGGAGUUGGAGUUGGAGAAAAAGGAGAAUUAAGAAUCUAUCUGGCGAUGUGGAUUAAAUAAACAACAAAUUGGCAGAUUGUUUUUAAAAGGCAGGAGAGCUGGGCAUCUAUACGUGGGGACCCCAGGGGGACCUGCAAUCACCAGACUCACCUUCCAGAGCAGCACGGCCAGCAGCAGGAAGAUGAGGAUUCCCA